AUUGAACGCUGGCGGCAGGCCUAACACAUGCAAGUCGAGCGGAUGAAGGGAGCUUGCUCCUGGAUUCAGCGGCGGACGGGUGAGUAAUGCCUAGGAAUCUGCCUGGUAGUGGGGGAUAACGUCCGGAAACGGGCGCUAAUACCGCAUACGGCCUGAGGGAGAAAGGGGGGGAUCUUCGGACCUCACGCUAUCAGGUGAGCCUAGGUCGGAUUAGCUAGUUGGUGGGGUAAAGGCCUACCAAGGCGACGAUCCGUAACUGGUCUGAGAGGAUGAUCAGUCACACUGGAACUGAGACACGGUCCAGACUCCUACGGGAGGCAGCAGUGGGGAAUAUUGGACAAUGGGCGAAAGCCUGAUCCAGCCAUGCCGCGUGUGUGAAGAAGGUCUUCGGAUUGUAAAGCACUUUAAGUUGGGAGGAAGGGCAGUAAGUUAAUACCUUGCUGUUUUGACGUUACCAACAGAAUAAGCACCGGCUAACUUCGUG
This 484-nucleotide ribosomal RNA is filed under the name uncultured bacterium. Its description in RNAcentral is "partial 16S ribosomal RNA". It matches the Rfam family "Bacterial small subunit ribosomal RNA", at positions 30 to 507 of the family's 1533-position model. The record is from RNAcentral.